GGGCGUGUGGCGCAGUUGGUAGCGCGUUCGCUUCGCAUGCGAAAGGUCUCUGGUUCGAUUCCUGACUCGUCCA
Transfer RNA from Clavispora lusitaniae ATCC 42720, 73 nucleotides. It matches the Rfam family "tRNA". From Rfam's summary of the family: Transfer RNA (tRNA) molecules are approximately 80 nucleotides in length. Their secondary structure includes four short double-helical elements and three loops (D, anti-codon, and T loops). The record is from Rfam. Lineage: Eukaryota; Fungi; Ascomycota; Pichiomycetes; Serinales; Metschnikowiaceae.